UCCGGUUUAACACCGGCAGUCCUUCUAGAGUCCCCGCCAUGACGCGCUGGCAACUAGAAGCAAGGGUUUCGCUCGUUAUGGGCUCUCCGCCGCGCAGUCUUCGGAGCGGCGGAACCGCGCUCGUCAGUCCCCGACAUCUCACGACACGAGCUGACGACAGCCAUGCAGCACCUGUGAGCAGUGGUCAAUGAUCGGUGGCCAGGGGUCAGAAGGCCAAUUUCUUCACUGAUCCCUGACCCCUGAUCCCUGACCCCUGAUUCUGUGGGCGCAUGUCACGCUCACAAUCUAGUUCUCAUCGUUUAGGGCUAGGACUAC
RNAcentral lists this unclassified non-coding RNA (315 nucleotides) under uncultured Planctomycetia bacterium. RNAcentral describes it as "contains 16S-23S intergenic spacer region". The record is from RNAcentral. Lineage: Bacteria; Pseudomonadati; Planctomycetota; Planctomycetia.